AACAGCUUUUUUUUACUAGUGUCAACGCCUCCCUGAGGACAUAGCCACGGUUCCCGUGUCACCCAAUGAAGAGCGAGAGAAAUUUUACUGCAGCUUGGAGAAAAAAGGCCUCACAGUCUCCCACACUCCUUCUGCCCGGCCAAGCCAGUCAAGCACCCCUGAGUCCAAGCCAGUCAAGCACCCCUGAGUCCAAGCCAGUCAAGCACCCCUGAGUCCAAGCCAGUCAAGCACCCCUGAGUCCAAGCCAGUCAAGCACCCCUGAGUCCAAGCCAGUCAAGCACCCCUGAGUCCAAGCCAGUCAAGCACCCCUGAGUCCAAGCCAGUCAAGCACCCCUGAGUCCAAGCCAGUCAAGCACCCCUGAGUCUUCAGAAAUGAUCUCCCGGGUGCAGAUACUGCUUCAAAGCAUCUUUGUCGUCGACGCUGAGAUUCUGGAGAGCCCACCUCUCGACGGCCUCUAUUGCAUCUUUGUUGUUGAAUGGUUCCUGCUGAAAUCUAACAAUAUGGUGGUGAGAAUUGUUAGCAUGGAUGGAUAAGACACCAAAUCUAUGUAAACACAAAUAAAAGCUCAGUUUGCAUGGGUAACUUACUUUUCAUGAAGCCUGUGCAGGUCCUGGUUCGGAUUUGUUAUCGGUUUUCCCGUUGUGGAAAGGAAAAAACGAUUCUCAGCGCCUGACUCCGCUUUCAGCAAUGUGUGUCGUAUGCACCGGAAGUAAAUGUCGAAUAGCUGUAAAGACUUAUCGUUGAUUUCCAUUUUCAGCUUCUUCAGAAUUCUAAGAAAGACCUCGGAAGCCUCUCUGUUGUUCUCAUUGAUCUCAUCCGUAAAGUCGGCAGACACCACGUACUUGGCAAAGUUGCCUAUAUGAAUGAUAUAGUUUUUUACCGUUC
Long non-coding RNA from Bufo gargarizans (Asiatic toad), 886 nucleotides. RefSeq lists it as uncharacterized. The transcript has 4 exons. Lineage: Eukaryota; Metazoa; Chordata; Amphibia; Anura; Bufonidae. The record is from RefSeq and is a predicted model, not a curated record.